AGGACCAGCACUAUCCAUUGCACCACCUAGCUGCCCCAAAAGGAAAAGGGAGGAAGAUUUAUUACUCUUCACUUGCUUUUUCUCCAUGAGAAUUCCCCAAAUAUGGUAAUAAUGGGUCAUCUGGCCUAUGCUUAAAGACAUCCAGUGAGAAGGAACUCAGUAUCCCUCUACGGCAUCCCAUGCUCUUUAUUGUUAGCUACAUUUGUAAAUGUGGGAAUAAGAAAGCAUCACAGAGACCACUGGCCUCAACCUGAAUGUGAAUGAGGAUGUACUCUGCAACAUACUUGCAGACUGGUUAUCAAACCUUUGAUGGAUGGCUUCUAGCUAGCAGGAACCCACUUCCUCCUGAGGUCCACAGUCCAUGGUAUCCCCAUCCUCACUGGAGAGAAGCAGCAUAUGGCAGAAUAUAUGAAGAUGAAGGGAUUCAUGCUCAGCCUUAGGGAGAAAGAAAGUCAGCUUCUGAGAUGCACCCCCUCCCCAACCCACCAUAGCACAGCAUCCAUGUCCUGCCUUACCAGGGUUUUGGCUACGUUCCCUCUCUGUGUGAUGUUUUUGCUGUGCUUCUUGUUAGCCAUCCGGAUCCGCUGUUUGGCCACCAUUGCUUGGCUGCUUUUAAUUGUUUUAAACUCCUUCUUUCUCUCUUCUUUCUUUCUUUCCUUCCUUCAAGUUUCCUUCCUUCUU
Molecule: long non-coding RNA, 681 nt
Organism: Vombatus ursinus (common wombat)
Lineage: Eukaryota; Metazoa; Chordata; Mammalia; Diprotodontia; Vombatidae
Exons: 3
Source: RefSeq, a predicted model, not a curated record